Long non-coding RNA from Betta splendens (Siamese fighting fish), 1543 nucleotides. NCBI's taxonomy places the organism in Eukaryota, Metazoa, Chordata, Actinopteri, Anabantiformes, Osphronemidae. The record is from Ensembl.
CUGGGAGGAGGGCCCCUCGCCACGGCCCACAAUGCUUUGUCGCAUCCCCCCGUGGGACGCGGCGCCACCUUUCCUCCGCCCCGCGUCCCCACGUUUCACCCACGUGUAAACAGGCGCGCGCGCGGUUUGGGCGGAAACUGAGAAAAGGCAACUGCCGCCAUCUGUCGUGGACGUAAGGAUUUCCCUGCUGGAGCGCCGCAGACGCUCCCGGGAGGCGGAGACGAUGGAGCGAGCCUCAUCUCGACUUUUUCCCUCCUCGUCUCCUUCGUUUGGUCGGAACUUGAGUCCACAGGCCGCAGAUGUCUCCCUGUUCAUUCCUUCCCUGCAUCUUUUCUCCCCUCCACACCUCACGUCCGUCCUCUGAGUGAGGAGCUCACCUCACGCUCUCUCCCUCAUGUACAGACGGACGGACGGACGGACGGACGGAAAGGUGGAUUUGUCGCUCCACCUCUUCGCUGUUAUGAUAUCGAGCGCCAGCCCACUCCUGUCAUCACUGUCGCGGCAAACAGAUUGCCUUUACACUCUGCCACUUUACUCGUCUGAAUAGCUCUCUCUUCCCUCCCUUCGACUAUUUUUCUUUUAUUUCCCCUUAAGCUCCCUUCCCGCUCUCCUCUUGUCUCCAGAGCUUCAUUUUUCUCCCUACCUCUGGCAUAUAAGCAACUCUGGCGUGACAUAAGCGAUCAAUUUAACAAUAUAUAUUGAGCAGGGGUCCCGGGAGAAAUUUGUAAUCAAGAAGUGUAUUGAUCCAGUGUAUUAUUCUGUAGUUUGCUGUUGGAACACAGUCACAUAAUAAUGCUUGAUUAUGGGCAGAUGCGCAAAAAUGAGACAAAGUAGAAGCUGGGGCCGAGCUCCUCCGAGGACAGAGCAGGGAAUCAGACGGACUCUCUGAAGAGGACGUGUUUGCUCUGUGUUUUUUCCAGCUUCGGGCGCAGGAGGAUGACUGACAGCCUCCAAAGCAGAAGUGUACACUAUCACGAUGUGGUUGCGAUAAAGGAUGACCACGCACCAUAGUGCUGAAUAAUGGAUGGAGAUAAACGGAUGGAAAACAUGCCGUAUAGGCUCAAUUUCAGAUAAUCUCCGUCCCACUGAGCAAGAUGCAUCAGACUACAACAGGAAGUGAUUCUUUUGCCUUAUUGGACCUUUUGCUGAACUUUUUUUUUUUUGCAUUAACUUGAGCAGAUGGAUCGUACUGUACUGUAGGUAGUGCUGCAAUGGUGGCAUCUAUCUGUCUGUUGUUAAAUGGGGCUUCACACUUUUAAACUUUAGUUAAUUCGCCUGAACCGAAGAGUCCGAGUCGGACGAACAUCCGUCCGAACCGUCAUCUUCCAGUUUGAAACGAGCUCUCCCUUCCCAGUUCGCAGGAGUCUCUUACCUCAGGCUGCUGAAAACUCAUUAUCUCCAUACAAACUUUGAAAUGUAAUCUCACAGAGAACAAGGGAACAUUUGGAAGCUCGCACAGGAGGGAACCCGUCAUUACGGGUCUGCACAAUAGAACUGAUUGCACUAAACAGGAACCAUUACCAGGACAGGACUUCUGUACCAA